Molecule: long non-coding RNA, 418 nt
Organism: Malaya genurostris
Lineage: Eukaryota; Metazoa; Arthropoda; Insecta; Diptera; Culicidae
Exons: 2
Source: RefSeq, a predicted model, not a curated record
CCAUUUGGAAGUAUCGAUCUCGUUCAGCUCAUUAUGGAUUCGGAUACUGGUCGAUCGAAGGGUUACGGAUUCAUAACAUUCCACAACGCAGAUGAUGCCAGGAAAGCGCUGGAAAAGUUGAAUGGGUUUGAGGUAGCCGGACGCCCGAUGAAGGUCGAACAUGUGACGGAACGUUCGCUCGACACGGACGAAAUGGAUUGCAGCGAUUCCAAUUAGAAGCAAUACCUGAUUCUGACUCGGAAUCUGUUUGGAAAUCAUACCAAAUUCCAGACGAGUUAACUGGUCUUAGUUAAGAUUAGCUGAGCUAUUUGGGAACCGAUGGGUGAUAUCAAUAAUUAAACUAGCUGUGAGAUAGUUAAUAAUUCAUUUGUAAAAGUUGUCUUGAAUAAAAUCCACGUUUAUUGGAUUGAACAGAAAA